GGCACAUCCUGGGAACAGGAGAUUGAGGAGGAGUACCUGGAGCUGCUGGGGAGAAUGGUGAACACCACUGAAAAUCCCCUGAUGAAAUACACACAUCUGAAUUAUAUUGGCAGCGGGACUUUUGGAGAUGUUUACAGAGCACUCGACAGUGCCACAGGAGGAGAGGU
Melospiza melodia melodia is the source of this 167-nucleotide long non-coding RNA. RefSeq lists it as uncharacterized. Lineage: Eukaryota; Metazoa; Chordata; Aves; Passeriformes; Passerellidae. The record is from RefSeq and is a predicted model, not a curated record. The transcript is spliced from 3 exons.